AUGCUCAUGGCUUCUCACACUGACACUGUUGUUUCUUCUCUGAAGCUGGCUCCUGAGAGCAAUGGCCUCCACCGCCUCAUACACCAUUAUUUCUCUCCCAGGAUGCUGCUGCAGAUGCUAGCUAGUUGGACACAGAGUGAUGAAGAGACUGGUGACUUGAGGAUCCAUCGAUCUCCUGAGUAUUUGUACUCGUAG
Molecule: ribosomal RNA, 195 nt
Filed under: Triticum aestivum (bread wheat)
Lineage: Eukaryota; Viridiplantae; Streptophyta; Magnoliopsida; Poales; Poaceae
Description: partial small subunit ribosomal RNA
Source: RNAcentral